GUUACAGGCUUAACACAUGCAAGUCGAGGGGCAGCAUGGUCUUAGCUUGCUAAGGCCGAUGGCGACCGGCGCACGGGUGAGUAACACGUAUCCAACCUGCCGUCUACUCUUGGACAGCCUUCUGAAAGGAAGAUUAAUACAAGAUGGCAUCAUGAGUCCGCAUGUUCACAUGAUUAAAGGUAUUCCGGUAGACGAUGGGGAUGCGUUCCAUUAGAUAGUAGGCGGGGUAACGGCCCACCUAGUCUUCGAUGGAUAGGGGUUCUGAGAGGAAGGUCCCCCACAUUGGAACUGAGACACGGUCCAAACUCCUACGGGAGGCAGCAGUGAGGAAUAUUGGUCAAUGGGCGAGAGCCUGAACCAGCCAAGUAGCGUGAAGGAUGACUGCCCUAUGGGUUGUAAACUUCUUUUAUAAAGGAAUAAAGUCGGGUAUGGAUACCCGUUUGCAUGUACUUUAUGAAUAAGGAUCGGCUAACUCCGUGCCAGCAGCCGCGGUAAUACGGAGGAUCCGAGCGUUAUCCGGAUUUAUUGGGUUUAAAGGGAGCGUAGAUGGAUGUUUAAGUCAGUUGUGAAAGUUUGCGGCUCAACCGUAAAAUUGCAGUUGAUACUGGAUAUCUUGAGUGCAGUUGAGGCAGGCGGAAUUCGUGGUGUAGCGGUGAAAUGCUUAGAUAUCACGAAGAACUCCGAUUGCGAAGGCAGCCUGCUAAGCUGCAACUGACAUUGAGGCUCGAAAGUGUGGGUAUCAAACAGGAUUAGAUACCCUGGUAGUCCACACGGUAAACGAUGAAUACUCGCUGUUUGCGAUAUACUGCAAGCGGCCAAGCGAAAGCGUUAAGUAUUCCACCUGGGGAGUACGCCGGCAACGGUGAAACUCAAAGGAAUUGACGGGGGCCCGCACAAGCGGAGGAACAUGUGGUUUAAUUCGAUGAUACGCGAGGAACCUUACCCGGGCUUAAAUUGCAGAUGAAUUACGGUGAAAGCCGUAAGCCGCAAGGCAUCUGUGAAGGUGCUGCAUGGUUGUCGUCAGCUCGUGCCGUGAGGUGUCGGCUUAAGUGCCAUAACGAGCGCAACCCUUGUUGUCAGUUACUAACAGGUUCCGCUGAGGACUCUGACAAGACUGCCAUCGUAAGAUGUGAGGAAGGUGGGGAUGACGUCAAAUCAGCACGGCCCUUACGUCCGGGGCUACACACGUGUUACAAUGGGGGGUACAGAGGGCCGCUACCACGCGAGUGGAUGCCAAUCCCCAAAACCUCUCUCAGUUCGGACUGGAGUCUGCAACCCGACUCCACGAAGCUGGAUUCGCUAGUAAUCGCGCAUCAGCCACGGCGCGGUGAAUACGUUCCCGGGCCUUGUACACACCGCCCGUCAAGCCAUGGGAGCCGGGGGUACCUGAAGUGCGUAACCGCGAGGAGCGCCCUAGGGUAAAACUGGUGACUG
This 1434-nucleotide ribosomal RNA is filed under the name uncultured bacterium. RNAcentral's name for it is "bacterial SSU rRNA". It matches the Rfam family "Bacterial small subunit ribosomal RNA". The record is from RNAcentral.